AUCUCCAGACACUUCUUGCCAUGUCUCAGUCCAAUGAAACCCACGUUGAGCCCAUGCACCAACCUGUUAGCCACGACAGCUCUUUUCUUCUUCUAUAUAACCACUGUCCUCGCCAUGCAUCAAGGCAUCGGCAGGAAAUUCAGCUUCUUAGUCAUUUUCAGAACUUAACCCAGCAGAUGGCGCUUCAUAUCAUCAUCCUCAUAGCGGGCGUACCCAUAGGGGUCGCUACCUAUGAUGAUUCACAGUUCUGGCCCAUUGAUGCCGAUCAGUGGGUUUAUGUUUGUUUUGAUAGCCCGUGAUCAUAACGUUUAGUCAGGGAUUUAUUUUGUUUAUGUAUAGUAAUGACACUGCUAGUCCGGACCAGUUUGGAGAUAGUAGAAGUUACCUCCAAGAAGUAGUUCGAAGACCGGAUUAGUUUUUUUUGUAUAUGAUCAGUGUUUUAUUUUGUGAUCCCUGGCUGUUUGUAUUAGCUGAAAUAUUACGAAGACUUAUAACAUAUGUGAAAUUAUGGGUAUUAAUCUA
Alnus glutinosa is the source of this 522-nucleotide long non-coding RNA. RefSeq lists it as uncharacterized. The record is from RefSeq and is a predicted model, not a curated record. The transcript has 2 exons. NCBI's taxonomy places the organism in Eukaryota, Viridiplantae, Streptophyta, Magnoliopsida, Fagales, Betulaceae.